RNAcentral lists this ribosomal RNA (253 nucleotides) under uncultured bacterium. Its description in RNAcentral is "partial 16S ribosomal RNA". It matches the Rfam family "Bacterial small subunit ribosomal RNA", at positions 524 to 776 of the family's 1533-position model. The record is from RNAcentral.
UACGGGGGGGGCAAGCGUUGUUCGGAAUUACUGGGCGUAAAGGGCGCGUAGGCGGCCUGCUAAGUCGGAUGUGAAAUCCCUCGGCUCAACCGAGGAACUGCAUCCGAUACUGGCGGGCUUGAAUCCGGGAGAGGGAUGUGGAAUUCCAGGUGUAGCGGUGAAAUGCGUAGAUAUUCGGAAGAACACCAGUGGCGAAGGCGGUCUGCUGGGCCGUUGCUGACGCUGAGGCGCGACAGCGUGGGGAGCAAACAGG